UGUAAAUCAUAUUUAGCACUC
RNAcentral lists this microRNA (21 nucleotides) under Drosophila simulans. Its description in RNAcentral is "dsi-miR-4966-3p". Lineage: Eukaryota; Metazoa; Arthropoda; Insecta; Diptera; Drosophilidae. The record is from miRBase by way of RNAcentral.